UUUAAAUAAAACUAUAUAAUUUUUAAUAUAUCAAAUUAAAAAAAAACAUAUUACAUACUAAACUCUACUUCUAUCCUCUUCUCAUCUCAAACUGACAUCAACCUUCUCAACUCAAGCCUCCCCUGGUGCACCACCCUCGCAAACCCUCAUAACCGUCGCCAACCUUGCUGUCUCCCGUCACUGUUGCUGACGUCGCCGUUGAUGCUAUUGCGUCGCCCUUGCUGCAGCCGUCGUAGUCCUACCUGCAGUCGCCUCCACCCUUGUUGUCGUCGUUGCUGCUGCCCUCUUCUCAGCCGCUGCUCCAGUCUUCUCAUCCGUCUUCUCAAUCCUUGCUCCCGUCGCUGCUGCCCUCUUCUCAGUCGUCUGCUCUACCCUUUGAAGUUUGUUUGAACAGGGGUUUGAAGUUGGAAUCUAUACUAGGUAAAAGUUUACAUGAUAAAUACUCUAUUAUCAGAUUGCUAGUGUGGUUCCUCUCAGUUAUGCUCAAGUAGUGGAACAAGAAUUCAACUUGCUUGUGAAAUUAAAUAUGACAAUCGACAUGUUCUCCUAUCGGUCCCAUUAUCAUUUUUUUUCUUCUUUUCUUGUGAAGUCAGAUCUGUGCUUAAAUGAAUGGGUCAAUUUAUUAAAUAAGAUAAUAAUGUGUGUACAUUAAGGACUUUUUCAAGAUCUGUAUUUAUG
This 678-nucleotide long non-coding RNA is filed under the name Ricinus communis (castor bean). RNAcentral describes it as "long non-coding RNA (RCOM_LNC002492)". Lineage: Eukaryota; Viridiplantae; Streptophyta; Magnoliopsida; Malpighiales; Euphorbiaceae. The record is from RNAcentral.